GAUGGAGAGAAAGACGAGGAGGGCUGCCUGACAAUACCACCAUGUGACAUAAGUAGAGAAUGAGAUUUCACUUGUGCCCCUGGCUUGUGGCCCACUCACUAACGCAGAGGAUGGCUGUCCUUUCCCUGGAUGGAACCUGGAUGACCUCCACGAAGCCAUGAAGCCAUUGUUCUCCUUCACCACGGAGACAUCUUGGGUCUUUGACUUAUUUGGCCUCCAUUUCUGUGCCAGCGUUUUCCUUCCUCAUUUUUCCAUCCAUCCCCACAGCAGAACAUUUUCCUUUCCCAGGGAGUUCCCAUCCUGAAUCACCCAUCUCUCCAUCAGUUGUCAGUGAGAGUCUAUUAAAUGGCCAGUCUUGAAAUCCUUCUGAUGAUGAAAAAUAAAAAUAAACUUGUGAAACAACUCCUGCA
Non-coding RNA from Ictidomys tridecemlineatus (thirteen-lined ground squirrel), 410 nucleotides. NCBI's taxonomy places the organism in Eukaryota, Metazoa, Chordata, Mammalia, Rodentia, Sciuridae. The record is from RefSeq and is a predicted model, not a curated record.